GAAGAUCAACAAUCCAGGAUUGACCUUCCAUUUUUAAUUCAACCGGACCCCAAACCUGGUUCAUUUGUCAUGUCCACCGCCUUUGAAUCCCUCGUCUCCCUCUUCUCUUAGAGACACGCCCAAACCCUAGCGUCGUCACCUAAAGUCUCCCCUAAAUCCAUUCGAUUCCUACAUGUUCCAUGAGAUUCCAUGGUGGUUUGAGGCCUCUACCAGCCUCUUAUCUCUCCUAGUUCUUCGACCUUGUUGUUGCAUGGAGGGAUCUUGAAAC
This 268-nucleotide long non-coding RNA is filed under the name Nicotiana benthamiana. Its description in RNAcentral is "long non-coding RNA (NBEN_LNC024000)". The record is from RNAcentral. Lineage: Eukaryota; Viridiplantae; Streptophyta; Magnoliopsida; Solanales; Solanaceae.